RNAcentral lists this long non-coding RNA (355 nucleotides) under Spirodela polyrhiza (greater duckweed). Its description in RNAcentral is "long non-coding RNA (SPOL_LNC002492)". The record is from RNAcentral. Lineage: Eukaryota; Viridiplantae; Streptophyta; Magnoliopsida; Alismatales; Araceae.
CAAUCCCCGGCUGGUCUCCUGGCGGAUCAUCGGCCCCGGCGGCGCCGCCGGCGGGUGGAGGCUCGCAGCCGGCGGCUCUGCCAGCGCCGCCGCCGUGUAUCUCUCCGGCUACCCCCACGAGGAUGAAGAAGAAGAGGAAGAAGAUGGAGAAGAAACAUUGACGAUGGAGGAGCAAAGGGAAAAGUAUGCCGCGGCGGAGUCGAAACGACUGGAAGAACUCGACCUCGCCGGCGCCGCCGCUGCCGGCGGUGGUGGCGGCGAAGAAGACGAAGAAGAAGAGGAAGAGGAAGAAGAUGAUGAUGACGUCAUGGGUUUCUGUGAGGUCUGGGGUACGUGGGAGUACGUGGACGAGGAG